RNAcentral lists this long non-coding RNA (10393 nucleotides) under Triticum aestivum (bread wheat). Its description in RNAcentral is "long non-coding RNA (TAES_LNC025265)". Lineage: Eukaryota; Viridiplantae; Streptophyta; Magnoliopsida; Poales; Poaceae. The record is from RNAcentral.
UAACACAAGCUGACAUCAAUGACAACAGAAGUAAAAGGACAUGAAUGUAACAUGACAAGGACACAUAUAUAACUAUCAAACAUGAACAGAGGGAAGAAACAAGGUUGUAGGACAGAAUAUAUGUAUCAUAUCAAAGACACACACAUAUGUAUAUAAAUCACACACAUUUAUCUCACAAGAACUUGAACUAAUACGUGGACUACAAAACUGAAUAUAUUUCUACAGAAAAGGGAACACACUGUGACAACACAUACAUGAACUGGAAUUAAAAUACAAAGGGUGAACACGCAUAAGUUCUAACAGAACACUAAUUACCAAGACAAAAUGUUAGACGUCACUUUGUUUCGAAAGAAAAGAAAUCCACUAUUCAGAACAUAGAAUUCAUGACAUGAUAUUUAAGAAGUAUGAACUGAACAAACUAAUUGGUUGCAAACACUUAUCAAAAUCUGAACCUUACAAGUCCUACACCACUCCUAUUAUAGAAAAUUCAGAGUACAGUAGCAAGAGAAGGGAGAGAUUCAAAGAUUAAUUCCCAGUCAAUCUUCAGGCUUGCAGCUGUAUAUCAUGUAGGUGAUGGAGAAGAUCAGCAGGGGGCGAGUUGGAGAAGGAGAGGUACAGCAGCAGAGGGCAGAGCAGCAGCGAGGUAGGGAGAAGAAAGAGCAGCAGGCUGGGGUUCAGAGAAGAUUAGGAGCAUCAACUAGAGGAAAAGGAAGAAGAGAGCAGCGACAGGAGAAGAAGGAAACAACAACAUGAUGAGGGGAGGAGUAGCAGCGUGAGAGAUCAGCAAGGGGGCGCGGUAGAAGAAGAGCAGCAACAAAGGGAUUGAAGGAGGAGGAGAGAGGUGGAGGAGCAGCGAGGGGAAGAAGAAGGGAAGCAGCGAGGCAGGGGAGGAAGAAGGCAGCGGCAGAAGGCAAGGUCGCCUGGGGCACCAGACCCUUGGUCUGGUAGGGCGCGCGAGCGAUGGUGGUGAAGGGGUGGCGCUGAUGGAUGGUGCAGCGGCGCGAGGGGGUGAUGGAUUGGAUGGAUGGUGGUAUAUGGAGGUGCUGGUGGACGGAGGGCGCCGUGGAGCGGUGGCGCGCCCCACGCCGGCCUGGCUGUGGCGGCGGCCGAAGGUGGAGAAGGAGACGAGAGGGGAGAUGUGCCAGGCCCCAUUGGAUCCCUCCAGCGCCUAGGGAUUUUGUUCCCCUCCUCUCAUCUGCACUUUGUGAUUUGGCCAUCUUACUUCUCUUCUUUCUUCACAAGAAGAUCCUCCUACUUCUUUAGCUCGCCCCUGGUAACUUCUUUUCUUCUCGCACAAGUCCAUUCUUCCUCCUCCUCUUCAUUCUCUUAGCCACUAGUCCGGAUCUUGAAGUUUAUAGUGCCUUUUCGCACUUUUCUACAAAAGAAACACAAUGACUAGUAAAUGAUUCAUUAUAUGAUUUUCAUGCAAAUAUUCAACUAAACUUAGGAAGAAUAGAUGGGCAUAACCCAAUGAAUGGUAUAAUUGUAUGCCAGAAUUAUAUAUAUGAAAUGUGCAUAUCAAGUUCCCCCACACUUAAAUCUUUACUUGUCCUCAAGUAAAGGCAAAUGACAAGAGCUAGAUGGUGAACAGUGAGCUGACUAGAGAAUGUCCCAGUAAAGUAGAUCUCCAAACAUCGCAUUCUUUGGACUUAGCUAGUGAAAAUCAAUGGUUAAGAGUGCUACAAAGCAAUAGGAUACUAGUAGACUCGAUCAUUUUCAACUUUUACAAUGAUGCAAGAAGAUUAGCAAGUUCAAAUGCUGAUUAUGCCAAAGGUUCCUAAAGAGAGCAUGAUCUUGAGAACAAAAGGAACUUGAAUUAAAUCUUGUGAUCAAAUCACUUAUUUACUGAAAUAAAGCAAUGAUUAUUAUUAUUAGUCUCACCAUAGGAACAUACCACCGAUCCCGAGAACAUGGUAUACACCUGGCUCGACCAAUUAUUGGUAUUUUUUUAGUUUGUCUCCCCAAAGGAACAUACCACCGAUCCCGAGAACAUGGUAUACACCUGGUUCGACAAUUACAUUUUUUAAUAUAAUUAACUCCUAUCCGAUCCAACCAGAUUUCACAAGCCACCGAUCCAGGGAACAUGACAUGCUACUGUUAGGUAGAUCAGAUAAUUAUACACUAUAAGAUAUGCCUAUUUUAAUGAACAAACACAAGAAUCAUCACUCAACCAGGUCUGGUUCACAUGCUACGGAUCCAGAGAACAUAGCAUGCUAAUCCAUAGUGGUAAGUGAUUGCUCUGAAUGGGAACACAGUAGGCACAAACUCAGCAUCUGACACUUAAUGAUCUAGGUGUAUCGAGGUAAAAGCAGAAAAUGAUUAAGUUUUCUAGUGUACUAGGGAUUUGAGCACUCAAAACUAAUAGUUCUCACUAAUUUGAGCAAAGCACGCAAUAUGUAGAUCACUAGUUUACAUGGCAUUCAACAAUCGGUUCGCAUAUUCUCAUCAAGCACCAUAUGUCAAAUAAAAUUCAGUGGGGAAGCAUUUAAGAAAUGGCUUAAUAAGCAACCCAAAUAACAUUUGAUUUCAGCAUGUAUCAAUGGAUGAUAUACUCGGAAUGGGUCAUGAAACAGCUCACUGGGCUUUGAUGAUGUAGCACUCGCUUGAUCACUCUCUAAGCUGCAGCUCUUCUCCUUUUGCUUCCUCAUGGAUGCUCCAGCUUCACUCUUCUUCGUGUGUGCCCCAUUGCUUCUCCUCAUCCCCAUGCUCUGAGUCCACCAGGGUCCCAAGGAAUGUCACCUCGAACCUGGUCAACAUGUAUUGAUUCGUGCACAAGCAAAAAACCUGAAAAGGCACUCAACCAAAGAGACAAUGCAAGUGGUAGGGAUAAUACCCUCCAAGUCAUCAAUCGAAUAUCCAAUUACAUAAGCAUAGCUAUAAAGCACAUGUUUAGAAUGGUAGAAAUCAGCAAGGUCAACACUAACAUGAGGAUGAAAUUUAUCAUUAAGCUCAAGACUAGUAUGGGAAUAAUAUGUUUCAUUAAGCAUAGGACUAGCAUAAGGAAAAUAAGUGUCAUCAUCGGGAAUGAGAGCAAUGCCACCAAAAGUGUAUGUAUGAUCAUGUCCAAGCAAAUAAUUUUUCAAAUCUAGCUUAAUUGAUGGUAUAACGCAAUGCAAAGUAACAACAAAGAUCUCAUAAGGAAGCAUGUCAUCAAGAGGAUUGGAUAAACCUGCUAAAUCACGCUCCUGUAUAAUGAUGGGCAAAUGCAUUUCCGGUUCUUCAUCUUCAAUCACAUCAACUUCUUUUGCUUCUUCAAGAGUAAUAGAUGAUGAGUCUUCAACUUGAUCACUUUGUUGUUCGAGCUCUGGAUCAUCUUGUUCCUUGUCUUCAAGUAUUUCUUCUUCAAUCUGAGGUCUUUCUUCCUCUGGACUCUUACUAUCUUGCUCAGCUAGAUGUGACGGUAUUGGAACCUCACAUGUAUCAAGGGGAAUCUUGGCAACACUCGGCUCAAGGAGGGAGGAGAUAGUACUGCCAGCGUUGAUGUUCUUCUCAAUCUUCCUUACUUCUUCCACUAGCUCUUUUCCACUCUUGAUCUUCUUCAUUUCCUCUAGUAUCACCGGCCUCAUUGGAUCAUCUUCAGCACUCCAAGUGAACUCGAGACUAAGCAAUGUGAGCUUGUCUAUAUCAUCAAAAUCAUCUUGUGUGGGCACUUGUGUUGAAGGUGUUGGUUGACCAAAUGGAGGACCAUUUAACUCCAUUGGCAACAUCUCCUGGUGUUGAGGUAUAUGAGUAGGAGGUGAAUAGCAUUGUUGUGGUGCAUAGUUGUUGCUCUCGUCAUUGUACCUAAAUCCCUGCAUUGGAUAACUAGAGGCAAACGAUGAGAUCUCAGGGUUGUUGCUCCUAUAUGACAUAUUCGGGUUUUUAGGCCACCCAUGUGACUAAUUGCUUGCUUUGGUAUGAGCUAUGCUCUUGAGCGAAGCUCAUGCCAAAACAAUCUGGAGGGUGAGAGUAACCAUGCUGACAUUCAGCGGGCGAAUGGCCUUGAAAUCCACAAAUAUGGCAGGUAGGAGCAACAUAAGGAUAGCCUCUAGAAUAAGGAUCAUAAGAGCUAGGCCUACCCUCAAAAACUAUUUCUCGCUGCUGAGCUAAAUCAUCUAAUCGAUGGGAAAUCUUACUUAUCAAGUCUCGAAUACUUUCCGUGCUGUUUGUAGUGUUGCUCGCAAAAGCAUGAUGAUCUGAAUAGUAAGCCAUAUCUGAGAAGAUGCAAUAACCUGCAGAAUGACCAAGCAAAGAAAGAGAAAAUAACUUGACAAGGGUUAGGGGUUAGAGAUAUAUCACAUAUAUAUAGCACAAAGGGAAAAACAAGAAAAACCUAGUCUAUAGCCUAACACGGUCGCACGACUCUAGUCCCCGGCAACGGCACCAAAAUGAUCAGGUGUAAUAUAGCAGGGUUUUUGCGCCCAAACUACGGAUGUGUCGUGUUCUCCAUAGGGACUAGGCGACAGUGACUAUGCUCGGCUAAAGCUAGGGUAGACAAUUUAAGUGACGAAUACAGGGAAAAUAAACCUAAAGUAUCUAAGAUCGUUUCGGAAAAUCGACGACAAAGUAAAUGAAAAUAAGCAAAGGGAGAUUCAGAUUAUAUUCUCUGUCUUUUUGGUAUAUUCAUAAAACUUGAGAAACUAAAAUACUAACACAAGCUGACAUCAAUGACAACAGAAGUAAAAGGACAUGAAUGUAACAUGACAAGGACACAUAUAUAACUAUCAAACAUGAACAGAGGGAAGAAACAAGGUUGUUGGACAGAAUAUAUGUAUCAUAUCAAAGACACACACAUAUGUAUAUAAAUCACCCACAUUUAUCUCACAAGAACUUGAACUAAUACGUGGACUACAAAACUGAAUAUAUUUCUACAGAAAAGGGAACACACUGUGACAACACAUACAUGAACUGGAAUUAAAAUACAAAGGGUGAACACGCAUAAGUUCUAACAGAACACUAAUUACCAAGCCAAAAUGUUAGACAUCGCUUUGUUUCGAAAGAAAAGAAAUCCACUAUUCAGAACAUAGAAUUCAUGACAUGAUAUUUAACAAGUACAAACUGAACAAACUAAUUGGUUGCAAACGCUUAUCAAAAUCUGAACCUUACAAGACCUACACCACUCCUAUUACAGAAAAUUCAGAGUACGGUAGCAAGAGAACGGAGAGAUUCAAAGAUUAAUUCCUAGUCAAUCUUCAGGCUUGCAGCUGUAGAUGGUGUAGGUGAUGGAGAAGAUCAACAGGGGGCGAGUUGGAGAAGGAGAGGUACAGCAGUAGAGGGCAGAGCAGCAGCGAGGUAGGGAGAAGAAAGAGCAGCAGGCUGGGGUUCAGAGAAGAUUAGGAGCAUCAACUAGAGGCAAAGGAAGAAGAGAGGAGCGACAGGAGAAGAAGGAAACAACAACAUGAUGAGGGGAGGAGUAGCAGCGUGAGAGAUCAGCAACAGGGCGCGGUAGAAGAAGAGCAGCAACAAAGGGAUUGAAGGAGGAGGAGAGAGGUGGAGGAGCAGCGAGGGGAAGAAGAAGGGCAGCAGCGAGGCAGGGGAGGAAGAAGGCAGCGGCAGAAGGCAAGGUCGCGCGGGGCACCAGACCCCUAGUCUGGUAGGGCGCGCGAGCGAUGGUGGUGAAGAGGUGGCGCUGAUGGAUGGUGCAGCGGCGCGAGGUGGUGAUGGAUUGGAUGGAUGGUGGUAUAUGGAGUUGCUGGUGGACGAAGGGCGCGGUGGAGCGGUGGCGCGCCCCACGCUGGCCUGGCUGUGGCGGCGGCUGAAGGUGGAGAAGGAGACAAGAGGGGAGAUGUGCCAGGCCCCAUUGGAUCCCUCCAGCGCCUAGGGAUUUUGUUCCCCUCCCCUCAUCUGAACUUUGUGAUUUGGCCAUCUUACUUCUCUUCUUUCUUCACAAGAAGAUCCUCCUACUUCUUUAGCUUGCCCCUGGUAACUUCUUUUCUUCUCGCACAAGUCCAUUCUUCCUCCUCCUCUUCAUUCUCUUAGCCACUAGUCCGGAUCUUGAAGUUUAUAGUGCCUUUGCGCACUUUUCUGCAAAAGAAACACAAUGACUAGUAAAUGAUUCAUUAUAUGAUUUUCAUGCAAAUAUUCAACUAAACUUAGGAAGAAUAGAUGGGCAUAACCCAAUGAAUGGUAUAAUUGUAUGCCAAAAUUAUAUAUAUGAAAUGUGCAUAUCAAGUUCCCCCAAACAUAGAUCUUUACUUGUCUUCAAGUAAAGGCAAAUGACAAGAGCUAGAUGGUGAACAGUGAGCUGACUAGAGAAUGUCCCAGUAAAGUAGAUCUCCAAACAUCGCAUGCUUUGGACUUAGCUAGUGAAAAUCAAUGGUUAAGAGUGCUACAAAGCAAUAGGAUACUAGUAGACUCGAUCAUUUUCAACUUUUACAAUGAUGCAAGAAGAUUAGCAAGUUCAAAUGCUGAUUAUGCCAAAGGUUCCUAAAGAGAGCAUGAUCUUGAGAACAAAAGGAACUUGAAUUAAAUCUUGUGAUCAAAUCACUUAUUUACUGAAAUAAAGCAAUGAUUAUUAUUAUUAGUCUCACCAUAGGAACAUACCACCGAUCCCGAGAACAUGGUAUACACCUGGCUCGAUCAAUUAUUGGUAUUUUUUAGUUUGUCUCCCCAAAGGAACAUACCACCGAUCCCGAGAACAUGGUAUACACCUGGUUCGACAAUUACAUUUUUUAAUAUAAUUAACUCCUAUCCGAUCCAACCAGAUUUCACAAGCCACCGAUCCAGGGAACAUGUCAUGCUACUGUUAGGUAGAUCAGAUAAUUAUACACUAUAAGAUAUUCCUAUUUUAAUGAACAAACACAAGAAUCAUCACUCAACCAGGUCUGGUUCACAUGCUACCAAUCCAAAGAACAUAGCAUGCUAAUCCAUAGUGGUAAGUGAUUGCUCUGAAUGGGAACACAUUAGGCACAAACUCAGCAUCUGACACUUAAUGAUCUAGGUGUAUCGAGGUAAAAGCAGAAAAUGAUUAAGUUUUCUAGUGUACUAGGGAUUUGAGCACUCAAAACUAAUAGUUCUCACUAAUUUCAGCAAAGCACGCAAUAUGUAGAUCACUAGUUUACAUGGCAUUCAACAAUCGGUUCGCAUAUUCUCAUCAAGCACCAUAUGUCAAAUAAAAUUCAGUGGGGCAACAUUUAAGAAAUGGCUUAAUAAGCAACCCAAAUAACAUUUGAUUUCAGCAUGUAUCAAUGGAUGAUAUACUCAGAAUGGGUCAUGAAACAACUCACCGGGCUUUGAUGAUGUAGCACUCGGUUGAUCACUCUCUAAGCUGCAGCUCUUCUCCUUUUGCUUCCUCAUGGAUGCUCCAGCUUCACUCUUCUUCGUGUGUGCCCCCUUGCUUCUCCUCAUCCCCAUGCUCUGAGUCCACCAGGGUCCCAAGGAAUGUCACCUCGAACCUGGUCAACAUGUAUUGAUUCGUGCACAAGCAAAAACCUGAAAAGGCACUCAACCAAAGAGACAAUGCAAGUGGUAGGGAUAAUACCCUCCAAGUCAUCAAUCGAAUAUCCAAUUACAUAAGCAUAGCUAUAAAGCACAUGUUUAGGAUGGUAGAAAUCAGCAAGGUAGACACUAACAUGAGGAUGAAAUUUAUCAUUAAGCUCAAGACUAGUAUGGGAAUAAUAUGUUUCAUUAAGCAUAGGACUAGCAUAAGGAAAAUAAGUGUCAUCAUCGGGAAUGAGAGCAAUGCCACCAAAAGUGUAUGUAUGAUCAUGUCCAAGCAAAUAAUUUUUCAAAUCUAGCUUAAUUGAUGGUAUAACGCAAUGCAAAGUAACAACAAAGAUCUCAUAAGGAAGCAUGUCAUCAAGAGGAUUGGAUAAACCUGCUAAAUCACGCUCCUGUAUGAUGAUGGGCAAAUGCAUUUCCGGUUCUUCAUCUUCAAUCACAUCAACUUCUUUUGCUUCUUCAAGAGUAAUAGAUGAUGAGUCUUCAACUUGAUCACUUUGUUGUUCGAGCUCUGGAUCAUCUUGUUCCUUGUCUUCAAGUAUUUCUUCUUCAAUCUGAGGUCUUUCUUCCUCUGGACUCUUACUAUCUUGCUCAGCUGGAUGUGACGGUAUUGGAACCUCACAUGUAUCAAGGGGAAUCUCGGCAACACUCGGCUCAAGGAGGGAGGAGAUAGUACUGCCAGCGUUGAUGUUCUUCUCAAUCUUCCUUACUUCUUCCACUGGCUCUUUUCCACUCUUGAUCUUCUUCAUUUCCUCUAGUAUCACCGGCCUCAUUGGAUCAUCUUCAGCACUCCAAGUGAACUCAAGACUAAGCAAUGUGAGCUUGUCUAUAUCAUCAAAAUCAUCUUGUGUGGGCACUUGUGUUGAAGGUGUUGGUUGACCAAAUGGAGGACCAUUUAACUCCAUUGGCUAUAUCUCCUGGUGUUGAGGUAUAUGAGUAGGAGGUGAAUAGCAUUGUUGUGGUGCAUAGUUGUUGCUCUCGUCAUUGUACCUAAAUCCCUGCAUUGGAUAACUAGAGGCAAACGAUGAGAUCUCAGGGUUGUUGCUCCUAUAUGACAUAUUCGGGUUUUUAGGCCACCCAUGUGACUAAUUGCUUGCUUUGGUAUGAGCUAUGCUCUUGAGUGAAGCUCAUGCCAAAACAAUCUGGAGGGUGAGAGUAACCAUGCUGACAUUCAGCGGGCGAAUGGCCCUGAAAUCCACAAAUAUGGCAGGUAGGAGCAACAUAAGGAUAGCCUCUAGAAUAAGGAUCAUAAGAGCUAGGCCUAUCCUCAAAAACUAUUUCUCGCUGCUGAGCUAAAUCAUCUAAUCGAUGGGAAAUCUUACUUAUCAAGUCUUGAAUACUUUCCGUGCUGUUUGUAGUGUUGCUCGCAAAAGCAUGAUGAUCUGAAUAGUAAGCCAUAUCUGAGAAGAUGCAAUAACCUGCAGAAUGACCAAGCAAAGAAAGAGAAAAUAACUUGAACAAGGGUUAGGGGUUAGAGAUAUAUCACAUAUAUAUAGCACAAAGGGAAAAACAAGAAAAACCUAGUCUAUAGCCUAACACGGUCGCACGACUCUAGUCCCCGGCAAAGGCACCAAAAUGAUCAGGUGUAAUAUAGCAGGGUUUUUGCGCCCAAACUACGGAUGUGUCGUGUUCUCCACAGGGACUAGGCGACAGUGACUAUGCUCGGCUAAAGCUAGGCUAGACAAUUUAAGUGACGAAUACAGGGAAAAUAAACCUAAAGUAUCUAAGAUCGUCGGAAAAUCGACGACAAAGUAAAUGAAAAUAAGCAAAGGGAGAUUUAGAUUAUAUUCUCUGUCUUUUUGGUAUAUUCAUAAAACUUGAGAAACUAAAAUACUAACACAAGCUGACAUCAAUGACAACAGAAGUAAAAGGACAUGAAUGUAACAUGACAAGGACACAUAUAUAACUAUCAAACAUGAACAGAGGGAAGAAACAAGGUUGUAGGACAGAAUAUAUGUAUCAUAUCAAAGACACACACAUAUGUAUAUAAAUCACACACAUUUAUCUCACAAGAACUUGAACUAAUACGUGGACUACAAAACUGAAUAUAUUUCUACAGAAAAGGGAACGCACUGUGACAACACAUACAUGAACUGGAAUUAAAAUACAAAGGGUGAACACGCAUAAGUUCUAACAGAACACUAAUUACCAAGACAAAAUGUUAGACAUCACUUUGUUUCGAAAGAAAAGAAAUCCACUAUUCAGAACAUAGAAUUCAUGACAUGAUAUUUAACAAGUACGAACUGAACAAAAUAAUUGGUUGCAAACACUUAUCAAAAUCUGAACCUUACAAGUCCUACACCACUCCUAUUACAGAAAAUUCAGAGUACAGUAGCAAGAGAAGGGAGAGAUUCAAAGAUUAAUUCCUAGUAAAUCUUCAGGCUUGCAGCUGUAGAUGGUGUAGGUGAUGGAGAAGAUCAGCAGGGGGCGAGUUGGAGAAGGAGAGGUACAGCAGCAGAGGGCAGAGCAGCAGUGAGGUAGGGAGAAGAAAGAGCAGCAGGCUGGGGUUCAGAGAAUAUUAGGAGCAUCAACUAGAGGCAAAGGAAGAAGAGAGCAGCGACAGGAGAAGAAGGAAACAACAACAUGAUGAGGGGAGGAGUAGCAGCGUGAGAGAUCAGCAAGGGGCGCGGUAGAAGAAGAGCAGCAACAAAGGGAUUGAAGGAGGAGGAGAGAGGUGGAGGAGCAGCGAGGGGAAGAAGAAGGGCAGCAGCGAGGCAGGGGAGGAAGAAGGCAGCGGCAGAAGGCAAGGUCGCGCGGGGCACCAGACCCCUGGUCUGGUAGGGCGCGCGAGCGAUGGUGGUGAAGGGGUGGCGCUGAUGGAUGGUGCAGCGGCGCGAGGUGGUGAUGGAUUGGAUGGAUGGUGGUAUAUGGAGGUGCUGGUGGACGGAGGGCGCGGUGGAGUGGUGGCGCGCCCCACACCGGCCUGGCUAUGGCGGCGGCCGAAGGUGGAGAAGGAGACAAGAGGGGAGAUGUG